Molecule: ribosomal RNA, 677 nt
Filed under: Cheiracanthium mildei
Lineage: Eukaryota; Metazoa; Arthropoda; Arachnida; Araneae; Cheiracanthiidae
Description: SSU rRNA
Rfam family: Eukaryotic small subunit ribosomal RNA
Source: RNAcentral
CGGGCAGCUUCCCGGAGAACCAAAGCUUUUGGGUUCCGGGGGAAGUAUGGUUGCAAAGCUGAAAACUUAAAGGAAUUGACGGAAGGGCACCACCAGGAAUGGAGCCUGCGGCUUAAUUUGACUCAACACGGGAAAACUUACCCGGCCCGGACACAGGAAGGAUUGACAGAUUAAGAGCUCUUUCUUGAUUCUGUGGGUGGUGGUGCAUGGCCGUUCUUAGUUGGUGGAGCGAUUUGUCUGGUUAAUUCCGAUAACGAACGAGACUCUAGCCUACUAAAUAGACGUCCCGGUCCACUCUGCCGGGCGUUCUUCUUAGAGGGACAAGCGGCGUUUAGCCGCACGAGACAGAGCAAUAACAGGUCUGUGAUGCCCUUAGAUGUCCGGGGCCGCACGCGCGCUACAUUGAAGGAAUCAGCGUGUGCUUUCCCUGUCCGACAGGACUGGGUAACCCGUUGAACCUCCUUCGUGCUGGGGAUAGGAAAUUGUAAUUGUUUUCCUUGAACGAGGAAUUCCCAGUAAGCACGAGUCAUCAGCUCGUGUUGAUUACGUCCCUGCCCUUUGUACACACCGCCCGUCGCUACUACCGAUUGAAUGAUUUAGUGAGGUCUUCGGACUGGCGCUCGGAGCGGCCUUCGGGUCGCGCCGGCGUGCCGGAAAGAUGACCAAACUUGAUCACU